UUUUAUUUGAGAGUUUGAUCCUGGCUCAGGAUGAACGCUGGCGGCGUGCCUAACACAUGCAAGUUGAGCGAUUUACUUCGGUAAAGAGCGGCGGACGGGUGAGUAACGCGUGGGUAACCUACCCUGUACACACGGAUAACAUACCGAAAGGUAUGCUAAUACGGGAUAAUAUAUUUGAGAGGCAUCUCUUGAAUAUCAAAGGUGAGCCAGUACAGGAUGGACCCGCGUCUGAUUAGCUAGUUGGUAAGGUAACGGCUUACCAAGGCGACGAUCAGUAGCCGACCUGAGAGGGUGAUCGGCCACAUUGGAACUGAGACACGGUCCAAACUCCUACGGGAGGCAGCAGUGGGGAAUAUUGCACAAUGGGCGAAAGCCUGAUGCAGCAACGCCGCGUGAGUGAUGAAGGCCUUCGGGUCGUAAAACUCUGUCCUCAAGGAAGAUAAUGACGGUACUUGAGGA
Molecule: ribosomal RNA, 459 nt
Filed under: Clostridioides difficile
Lineage: Bacteria; Bacillati; Bacillota; Clostridia; Peptostreptococcales; Peptostreptococcaceae
Description: bacterial SSU rRNA
Rfam family: Bacterial small subunit ribosomal RNA
Source: RNAcentral